Molecule: ribosomal RNA, 410 nt
Filed under: Panorpa vulgaris
Lineage: Eukaryota; Metazoa; Arthropoda; Insecta; Mecoptera; Panorpidae
Description: bacterial LSU rRNA
Source: RNAcentral
GAAUGAGAAGAUUCAGUAUCUUACAUUUGGUCGAGCAUAGCAUUUUUGUGAUGAUAUAUUUAAUUUAUUUUUUAUAUGUUACACUGAAUUUGUUAUGAUAACUUGGCUAUGUAGGUAUGCACUUCUUCUCUAGUAGGACGUUGCAACUCAUUGGAUGUUAAUCUAAGGUCCCUUAUUGGUAGCCUAUUUUAUAUAUAUUUCGGUAUAUGUGAUUUAGACCAUAGGUGCUUACCCGAUUAACUUGUUCGAUGGUAUAACACAUAAUAUUGGGCCGCCUACCAAGGCAUUCAAACUAUUUUCAAGUGUGUAUGGGGAAUUUGGCUAACAGACCUAGUGCUGUUACUGAAACCGUUAUACUGUUGGAAUUUAGUAUAUUGAAUAGACCCUUUAUAUUGGUUAGCAACGCUUUA